This 465-nucleotide ribosomal RNA is filed under the name uncultured bacterium. Its description in RNAcentral is "partial 16S ribosomal RNA". It matches the Rfam family "Bacterial small subunit ribosomal RNA", at positions 28 to 507 of the family's 1533-position model. The record is from RNAcentral.
GACGAACGCUGGCGGCGUGCUUAACACAUGCAAGUCGAACGGAAAGGCCCUGCUUGCCGGGUACUCGAGUGGCGAACGGGUGAGUAACACGUGUGUGAUCUGCCCUGCACUUUGGGAUAAGUCCGGGAAACUGGGUCUAAUACCGGACAGGAGCCCUUUUUAGCGUGAUGGUUGGAAAGAUUUUUCGGUCUCGGAUGAGCCUGCGGCCUAUUAGCUUGUUGGUGGGUUUAUGGCCUACCAAGGCGGCAUCGGGUAGCCGGCCCGAAAGGGUGGACGGGCAUCUCGGGUCUGAGCUACGGCCCAAACCUCUACUGGAGGGCAGCAUGGGGAACAUUGCACAAUCGGCGCAAGCCAGAUGCAGCGACGCCGCGCUGGGGAUGACCGACUUUCGGUUGCAAACUCCCUUCGCUAGGGAAGAAGCCUUUUGUGACGGUACCUAGAUAAGAAGCCCCGGCUAACUACGUG